RNAcentral lists this ribosomal RNA (192 nucleotides) under Florenciella parvula. RNAcentral describes it as "partial Bacterial large subunit ribosomal RNA". It matches the Rfam family "Bacterial large subunit ribosomal RNA", at positions 2044 to 2235 of the family's 2925-position model. The record is from RNAcentral. Lineage: Eukaryota; Dictyochophyceae; Florenciellales.
GAAUUCCCCGUGAAGAUGCGGGGUUCCUGCGGUCAGACGGAAAGACCCCGUGCACCUUUACUACAACUUCACACUGGCAUCAGGCCAAGCAUGUGCAGGAUAGGUGGUAGGCUUUGAAGCAGAGACGCCAGUUUCUGUGGAGCCUCCCUUGAGAUACCACCCUUGCUUUGCUUGAUGUCUAACCGCGGUAGG